This 253-nucleotide ribosomal RNA is filed under the name uncultured bacterium. RNAcentral describes it as "partial 16S ribosomal RNA". It matches the Rfam family "Bacterial small subunit ribosomal RNA", at positions 524 to 776 of the family's 1533-position model. The record is from RNAcentral.
UACGGAGGGUGCAAGCGUUAUCCGGAUUCACUGGGUUUAAAGGGUGCGUAGGUGGGUUGGUAAGUCAGUGGUGAAAUCUCCAGGCUUAACUUGGAAACUGCCAUUGAUACUAUCAAUCUUGAAUACCGUGGAGGUCAGCGGAAUAUGUCAUGUAGCGGUGAAAUGCUUAGAUAUGACAUAGAACACCAAUUGCGAAGGCAGCUCACUACACGAAUAUUGACACUGAGGCACGAAAGCGUGGGGAUCAAACAGG